UGGGGAAUUUUGCGCAAUGGGGGAAACCCUGACGCAGCAACGCCGCGUGGAGGAUGAAGUAUCUUGGUACGUAAACUCCUUUCGAUGGGGAAGAUAAUGACGGUACCCAUAGAAGAAGCCCCGGCUAACUUCGUGCCAGCAGCCGCGGUAAUACGAGGGGGGCAAGCGUUGUUCGGAUUUAUUGGGCGUAAAGGGUGCGUAGGCGGUUCGGCAAGUCUUCUGUGAAAUCUAUGGGCUCAACCCAUAGUCUGCAUGAGAAACUACCGGGCUUGAGUAUGGGAGAGGUGAGUGGAAUUUCCGGUGUAGCGGUGAAAUGCGUAGAUAUCGGAAGGAACACCUGUGGCGAAAGCGGCUCACUGGACCAUAACUGACGCUGAAGCACGAAAGCUAGGGGAGCAAACA
This 402-nucleotide ribosomal RNA is filed under the name uncultured bacterium. RNAcentral describes it as "bacterial SSU rRNA". It matches the Rfam family "Bacterial small subunit ribosomal RNA", at positions 355 to 774 of the family's 1533-position model. The record is from RNAcentral.